GGCCUCAUAGCUCAGAAGGCUAGAGCGUUGGCUGAAAUGAAGGCUUUCCCUUGCUGACGUGGGUUUGAACCCCACCAAGGCCA
RNAcentral lists this transfer RNA (83 nucleotides) under Schistocephalus solidus. It matches the Rfam family "tRNA". From Rfam's summary of the family: Transfer RNA (tRNA) molecules are approximately 80 nucleotides in length. Their secondary structure includes four short double-helical elements and three loops (D, anti-codon, and T loops). The record is from Rfam by way of RNAcentral. Lineage: Eukaryota; Metazoa; Platyhelminthes; Cestoda; Diphyllobothriidea; Diphyllobothriidae.